This is a long non-coding RNA of Daphnia pulex (common water flea), 507 nucleotides long. RefSeq lists it as uncharacterized. The record is from RefSeq and is a predicted model, not a curated record. NCBI's taxonomy places the organism in Eukaryota, Metazoa, Arthropoda, Branchiopoda, Diplostraca, Daphniidae. The transcript is spliced from 3 exons.
CAACUGUUGCAGAAAUUGAAAACACAACAAAGUCUGAGCUUCAUGGCUGUCGUUCAUUAACAUGGUUUUGUUGCAGCCAGCUGGUGAAAGGUGUGAUCGAGUCAAGUUGAGCUGCAGCUGCCGCAUGCAGUUUAUCAAGCUGGUGUUAUCUAAAGUGUCACUGCAGGAAGACUUCUUGAAUUGGAGUUUGUGGUUGGUUUGGUGUAGCUGUUUGGUCUACAGUGGUUUUGCAGCCCCUUUCCAAUUGAGAGAUCCUCUGAAAUGGAGUUUGGUGCAGACUUGCAGUUCAACAUCACACUUAAAUGUUUCAUUUGCCUAUGUUGGUGUCCAUGCAGUAUUUGCAGUGUUGAACAGUUGGGUAAAAUAGUCAAUGUUGCCUGGUGGCUGUCAGUCUUAUUUUAUCGGCUGCAUUUUGUCGAUAUGUCGUCUCUUGGUACCGGCGUUGAGUUUCAUCGUUUGCUGCCGUUCCAUAGACUUGAUCCAUUGGUAAACUGAGGAGAGGUUGCU